This is an RNA transcript of Zea mays, 3785 nucleotides long. RefSeq lists it as uncharacterized. The record is from RefSeq and is marked validated. Lineage: Eukaryota; Viridiplantae; Streptophyta; Magnoliopsida; Poales; Poaceae. The transcript is spliced from 8 exons.
GCGAUGCCUCUGUAGCUGUACUGCUUGCUCCUCAGUCCAGCUAUCCGCAUAGACUUCGCACCAACCCAUCUCCCAGUCUCACACACCAAAGAGGAAAAAAAGCCUUGUUUUUUUUCUUCGGAGAAAGGAGAGGGGGAGAAAAUUAUACUACUCUCUUCUGUCCAGUCCAGCCGCGGACACCAAGGCACAGAGGCAGGCAGGCGGACAGGGUAGGCAAGAGGCGAGCUCGGCGAAGGCGCGGAGAGGGGAGACAGCCAGCCGCUGCAUUGCGCUACAUUGGGCAGGAGGGCUCGCCGCCGGGGGAGGCUCGGAUCUUGCGUCUCUGGCCGUGGCUGCCGCGUGCUUGCUUCGUUUGGUGGCGCUGCGCCCAUUGGCGGGCGGCCUCGGUCCAGCGCGGCGUGAUCUGGCGCGCGCCGCCGACUCCACUCGCGUGGGGAGGCCUGGAUCUUGACGCUCUGCUGUCGCUGCCGCGAGACCCUGGGGGAGCCACGCUGUGCUCAGUCGCCCGCAGUCCGCUGAGCUGCCGAGUGCGUCCGGCGGGCGGGAGAUCUGGCCGACGGCGCGGCGCUGCAGAUCCCCUGCCUGCGCGGGCACGGCUCACUGCUGCUGUGGAGGCUGUUGCGCGCGGUGGUGCCGAUGGGCUACGGGUACGUGGAUCCCUUCCCGCCCCCUCAGCAGCCACAACAGGCGGCAUACGUCGCGCCGCAGCAGGGGGACUACGGGCAGCCGCAGCCGCAGCCGGCUCCGCGGCCACCGGCUUGCCCGUACUCGUCGUCCGCCUCCGCUCCGCCGGGCUCCGCGUCCUAUCAUUUUUCGCCUCCGGCACCGUCCCCUCCGCCGGUAAGUAGCCCACCUCCGGCGUCCCCUUUACCGGAGCCAUCGGCGCCACCUGCACCAUUGCUGCCAUCGCCGCCGCCUCCUGCACCAUUGCCGCCAUCGCCUCCGCCGCCAGCAUUGUCGCCUCCUCCGCCGGACGCCCUCCCUCCGUCGCUUCCACCGUCACCGCUGCCAUAUCCAACCCGAUCACCACCUCAAGCCCCGCCGCCCCCGCUGACGACGGAUCAGCCGCGCGUUCAGCCCCGCGUAUACCCAUCACCGCCACCGCCGUCCCUCCCUCCUCCGCCGCCUCCCACCGUCUCGCCGCCAGCGCCGGCUCCAUCCAAUUCGCCGUCGCCGUCGCCUGCUCCAGCUGCACAAGCUCCGGGUCCCGCGCGUGUUGCUGCCUAUUCGCCUCCCCCGCCUAGAAUCGCCCCUCCGCCGCCUCCGCACUAUCACGGCAAGUCGCAUUACACGCCGCACUCGCCCGUGAAGUCGCAUUCGAACUCGAGCCAUGCAGCUAGUGGCAGUGGCAAGAACAUCGAGAUAUCGAGGGAAGCGGCCACCACCAUUGUAGCACUGGCCGGUCUCGCCAUGCUCAGCUUUAUUGGCGCGACCAUUUGGUUCGUCAAGAAAAAGCGCCGGCGCAUAGAGCCUCCGGCUACAUUGCCUACACAGCAACCAGCUCCUCCGCCACCGCCCAACUACAUUCCAUCUUCGGCUGGAUCCUCGCUAGCAUCAGACGGAUUCUACUUGAGAUCGCCAGGGUAUCCUUUCAUGAGGUACAGCACUGGGAGCCAUGGUUUUCCAUACUCCCCAGCCGACUCUGGGAUUGGGUAUUCCCAUAUGCUGUUCACACCAGAGAAUUUGGCAGCUAUCACAGAUGACUUUGCAGAAGAUAACCUUUUGGGAGAAGGUGGAUUUGGGUGUGUGUUCAAGGGCAUUUUGCCGGAUGGUCGCCCUGUCGCCGUCAAGAAGCUCAAGAUUGGGAAUGGGCAAGGCGAGCGUGAGUUCAAGGCUGAGGUCGAUACUAUCAGCAGAGUACAUCAUAGGCAUUUGGUUUCUCUAGUAGGCUAUUGCAUUGCGGAGGGCCAGCGAAUGCUUGUUUAUGAUUUUGUUCCCAACAACACACUAUAUUACCACCUCCAUGUAAGUGAAACAUCACUGGAUUGGCGGACAAGGGUUAAGAUUGCAGCUGGAGCAGCCCGAGGGAUUGGUUACCUCCAUGAAGAUUGUCAUCCACGUAUUAUUCAUAGAGAUAUUAAAUCAUCCAAUAUUUUGUUGGACAACAACUUUGAAGCUCAGGUUUCUGAUUUUGGACUUGCAAGGUUAGCGGCUGAUUCCAAUACACAUGUUACCACACGUGUCAUGGGGACAUUUGGGUAUUUGGCUCCAGAGUAUGCAUUGUCAGGAAAGUUAACAGCAAAGUCUGAUGUAUAUUCUUUUGGGGUUGUUCUUUUGGAGCUGAUCACAGGAAGAAAACCUGUUGAUGCUUCUCAGCCGUUGGGAGAUGAAAGUCUGGUUGAAUGGGUGAGUUCAUCACUUCAUUGUCUAUAAUAAGCGGCCUUACUGCAUGUCACUAAUGUUAGGUUCUAAAGUAUGCGUAACUUUUCUGUUUUUUAACCAUAACCAGUAACCAUAGUCAUGAGAUUGAGAUCCACUAAUAAAUGACAUGAUUAUUUCGUGAUACACCAAUGGAUGUGUCUAGACUUCUUCAAGCUUCAACUGUUGAUUUCCUGUUCCACUGUCUGUCGAUAAAUAUCCAUUAAGCUGAGGUGGAAGUCGGAUGCCUCAAAGUUUGAGUUCUAUCAUGCAGUCGCUAAAUUCUCUGCUGAUGCUUUCGCUAGUUCAUUCGUUUUCUUUAAAAGAUGAACGGCCCUUGUACUUCUUCCAUGACAUGGUCAUUGCUUCUUAUAAGAUGUUUAAUCGUUCCACUGGUCCCAUUUGCACAAACAUGUCAACCAAGAGAGCGAUAUGGAGAGAACGCAUUUGCUAAAAGUUCCAGUGGCUGUACCUUUUAUAAAGUGGGGCCAGUGGGCAACCAGAUUAUUCUUCCAGAGUGUCACACAAAAGGUGGUUAGAGUGCUAGGGACCUAUUUAUUGCAGUCUUCAUAGUUCAUACCGCUGUUCGGUGUGAAAGAAGUUCGGAUGGGAACUUAGCACUCGACGCAGAUCCUUGCGGUCAUGGAAGGUACCGACACAUUACACAAACGACACCUAAAUUGAUCUGAACAAAUUGCUUGUGUCUAUUGUCUUGGACGUCGCUGUGUCUUUUACAACGAAGAUUAUGAAUUGGACUUGGACAGGUUUGCUGCCGUUACGAUCUCAACCCAGAACCUUAUGCAUGCUGGAAAAUUUGCAGGCCCGCUCCGUUCUGACGAAGGCGAUCGAGCAUCGGGAGUUCGGGGACCUUCCUGACCCCAGGAUGGAGAACAGGUUCGACGAAAACGAGAUGUUUCACAUGAUAGUAGCCGCGGCCGCAUGCAUCCGGCACUCGGCGGCAAUGAGGCCACGGAUGGGGCAGGUGGUUAGAGCACUAGAUAGCUUAGCGGACUCUAAUCUGAACAACGGCCUCCAGCCCGGGCGCUGCGAGGUGUUCUUGGAGCCGCAGUCCGAGGAGAUCAGGCUGUUCCGGCUGAGGGAGUUCGGCAGCCGGGACGGUAGCGAGGAGCUGAGCCAGGCGAGCUGGAGGAGCCGGAGAGACCUGUGAACAGACACACUCGGUACAAGGUCAUUAACAUUCUUUUUUUUUUGGGGGCCAUUCUUUACAUGUAAUUAUCUCGUUUACAUGAUUCUUUCUUCCUUCUUACUUUUCGUUUGUUACUUUACUCCUCCCUGAGGCAAUUCUUGUUCCUGGUGGAAUAGAUUUUGCAUUUUCGUUCGGGAGAUAAGUAAAUGAAUCCUCUGUCUUUUCUCUCUCUCUCUCUCUCUCUCCAGUGAAUAGUACACAGAAAGUUUGGUUCCUGGCA